GACGAACGCUGGCGGCGUGCUUAACACAUGCGAGUCGAACGGAAAGGCCCUGCUUUUGUGGGGUGCUCGAGUGGCGAACGGGUGAGUAACACGUGAGUAACCUGCCCUUGACUUUGGGAUAACUUCAGGAAACUGGGGCUAAUACCGGAUAGGAGCUCCUGCUGCAUGGUGGGGGUUGGAAAGUUUCGGCGGUUGGGGAUGGACUCGCGGCUUAUCAGCUUGUUGGUGGGGUAGUGGCUUACCAAGGCUUUGACGGGUAGCCGGCCUGAGAGGGUGACCGGCCACAUGGGGACUGAGAUACGGCCCAGACGCCUACGGGAGGCAGCAGUGGGGAAUAUUGCACAAUGGGCGGAAGCCUGAUGCAGCAACGCCGCGUGCGGGAUGACGGCCUUCGGGUUGUAAACCGCUUUCGCCUGUGACGAAGCGUGAGUGACGGUAAUGGGUAAAGAAGCACCGGCUAACUACGUG
This 468-nucleotide ribosomal RNA is filed under the name uncultured bacterium. Its description in RNAcentral is "partial 16S ribosomal RNA". It matches the Rfam family "Bacterial small subunit ribosomal RNA", at positions 28 to 507 of the family's 1533-position model. The record is from RNAcentral.